GUGGGGAAUAUUCCGCAAUGGACGAAAGUCUGACGGAGCGACGCCGCGUGAGUGAAGAAGGCCUUCGGGUCGUAAAGCUCUGUCAUCAGGGACGAACGGCCGGUGGAGUGGAAAGCCACCGGAUUGACGGUACCUGAGAAGGAAGCCACGGCUAACUACGUGCCAGCAGCCGCGGUAAUACGUAGGUGGCAAGCGUUGUCCGGAAUUAUUGGGCGUAAAGCGCGCGCAGGUGGGAUCUUAAGUCCAUUGUUAAAGUUCGGAGCUCAACUCCGUGAUGGGAUGGAAACUGGGAUUCUUGAGUACCGGAGAGGAAAGCGGAAUUCCCCGUGUAGCGGUGAAAUGCGUAGAUAUGGGGAGGAACACCAGUGGCGAAGGCGGCUUUCUGGACGGUGUCUGACACUGAGGCGCGAAAGCCAGGGGAGCGAACGGGAUUAGAAACCCGUGUAGUCC
Molecule: ribosomal RNA, 450 nt
Filed under: uncultured bacterium
Lineage: Bacteria
Description: partial 16S ribosomal RNA
Rfam family: Bacterial small subunit ribosomal RNA
Source: RNAcentral